Molecule: ribosomal RNA, 253 nt
Filed under: uncultured bacterium
Lineage: Bacteria
Description: partial 16S ribosomal RNA
Rfam family: Bacterial small subunit ribosomal RNA
Source: RNAcentral
UACGAGAGGCGCAAACGUUAUUCGGAUUUACUGGGCUUAAAGAGUUCGUAGGCGGCGCAGAAAGUAGGGUGUGAAAGCCCUCGGCUCAACCGAGGAAUUGCGCUCUAAACUACUGUGCUUGAGGAAGCUAGAGGUGAGCGGAACUGAUGGUGGAGCGGUGAAAUGCGUAGAUAUUGGGAAGAACACCUGAGGCGAAGGCGGGUUGCUGGGCCGACACUGACGCUGAUGCGCGAAAGCCAGGGGAGCGAACGGG